GAUAAUAAGCUGUACAUGCCCGUUGAGGAACAUGUUUGUGCAGUCCAACUAACGGCGGAGCGUUUUCGUAGUUCGGCAUCGAUUGACGCAGCUCCGUCAUAAUCUCGUUCGCGUACACGCGGUUCAUUUCCGACCGAAAGUGAAACGAGCUUACAAGAUCGACGGUGUCGGCCAAUAUCGUGGCCGCUCUGAUCUGGGAGUUGCGAGUAGGAUUGUAUCAAACAGCCUCAUAUUCAGACCCCCAUCGUACCUGCGAGCCUGUAGCAACGGGAACACG
RNAcentral lists this unclassified non-coding RNA (277 nucleotides) under Hevea brasiliensis (rubber tree). The record is from RNAcentral. Lineage: Eukaryota; Viridiplantae; Streptophyta; Magnoliopsida; Malpighiales; Euphorbiaceae.